This 168-nucleotide ribosomal RNA is filed under the name Pseudomassaria chondrospora. RNAcentral's name for it is "partial 18S ribosomal RNA". It matches the Rfam family "Eukaryotic small subunit ribosomal RNA", at positions 1665 to 1830 of the family's 1831-position model. The record is from RNAcentral. Lineage: Eukaryota; Fungi; Ascomycota; Sordariomycetes; Amphisphaeriales; Pseudomassariaceae.
CACACCGCCCGUCGCUACUACCGAUUGAAUGGCUCAGUGAGGCUUCCGGACUGGUUUAGGGAGGUCGGCAACGACCACCCCGAACCGGAAAGCUAUCCAAACUCGGUCAUUUAGAGGAAGUAAAAGUCGUAACAAGGUCUCCGUUGGUGAACCAGCGGAGGGAUCAUU